RNAcentral lists this long non-coding RNA (495 nucleotides) under Anas zonorhyncha (Eastern spot-billed duck). RNAcentral describes it as "lncRNA (ENSAZOG00000000556.1)". The record is from RNAcentral. Lineage: Eukaryota; Metazoa; Chordata; Aves; Anseriformes; Anatidae.
AGAAGGUGGCAGGCUGGGAGCUUGAACACUGCUGCAACUUGCAAGCAGAACCCAGUGAUGGAGCAAAAUCCCAUUUCAGGCACAAGGAGAAUGAGGGCAAGGAGUCCCACCGGGCUCACGUGGGCACUGGCAUCGCCUUUCCGCCCGGUGCAGGAGGGGUACAAACGUCCCGCACUGCCACAGACACACACUGGGAGAACUGUGGGGGCUGGAGGAGGCAGCUGCAGGCAGUGGGACCGGGUACCCUGAAGCCGGAGCAGGAUGAGGAUGAGAAUGAUACAGAAGCUGGGGUCAUGGUGACCAUCCUGGGAGAACUGCACCAAUCUCUGCUGAGGCUCCAGCCCAGUGCAAGGUGCUGCCAGUCUGAAGCGACCCCAGGUCUCCAGCCCCUCUCACUGCCUCCUUUUGCUGCCGUUGAUGCAUAAAUCAGGAUCGAUACAGAUCCUCAUAGCGUGGGAAAGACGCAAGCUGCUGGUAUCAGACCUGGGGAUUUAU